GCGGACGGCCGCGGGCCUGGGGACCUGCCCACCUGCCCACCUGCCCACCUGCGGACCUGUGGGACCUGCGGGGCCUGCCCAGCUGCGGGGCCUAGACCGGCGGACCUGCCCACCUGCGGACCUCCUGACCUCCCGACCUGCGGGGCCUGGGGACCUGCCCACCUGCCCACCUGCCCACCUGCCCACCUGCGGACCUGCGGGACCUGCGGGGCCUGCGGGGCCUGCCCACCUGCGGGGCCUAGACCUGCGGACCUGCGGACCCGCGGGACCUGCAGAUCUGCUGACCUGCCAAUCUGCGGACCUGCGAAGCCUGGACCUGCAGGGCCUGCUGACCUGCCCGGCCUGCGUACCUGCCGGGUCUGCUGACCUGCGGGCCUGGGCCUGCCGGGCCUGCGUUCCUGCUGGGCCUGCGUACCUGCGGAGCCUGCUGACCUGCUGGGCCUGCUGACCUUGCCGGGCCUGCGCACCUGCGGGGCCUGCGUACCUGCGGGGCCAGGGCCUGCAGGGCCAGGGCCUGCUGACCUUGCCGGGCCUGCGCACCUGCGGGGCCUGCGUACCUGCGCCCAGCAGCACGCAACCUCGGUGGCUCGAGCCCCGCUGCCCCGCACUGCCCCCGGGGGCCUCCCGCAAAUGGCCCUGCGAGUGCGGGCGCUUCGGGGCCGUGCAGGGCCUGCUGGGGUGACGCCCCUACCUCCCGAACCUCUGUUCCCCAGGUGACAGCCCGGCCCGGGAGCCUGCGAACCGAGCAGGCCGCGCGCCCCCGGAGCAGGUUCCCACGCCGCCCGCUGAGGCCGCCUGGAGCUGGGCCCUGUCUGGCGCCAUCCGCUGUGUUGGGAAAACUGCAGCCCCGCUCAGGCUGCCUUGCACCUGUCCCGGUGUACAGGCACAGAGAACCAGCUGCUUGCUCUUAGAAGUAACAGGCCCUCCUCUCCGUUAGCUGCCAUCGCGGCAAAUUAAAACGCCUUCUGUUUUCUAAACAACAUAAUUCACAACGGGAGAGGAAGCUGUAGUGCUCUGUGCAACAGAAUCUGAAGGAGAAGGGCUCAGAAGUGAAAGAAACAGGGUGAAAAUAUCUCUAAGUCAUACAGCUGGAAGGCAUUGAUAAAUCUAAUGCAGUUCCCUCAUUCUACAGAGGAGAAAUAUAAGGGGAUGAAUAACUUGACCAAGGUCACAUGAUAACAUUAUAACCGGUUGCCUGGGAAAUGAAGAGGGUAUCAUAAAUUAAAACUAGAAGUGGCUUACGAUAUUAAUAUUGAAUAUUAAAAAAAUGUGAAGUUACGAAGUUCUCUGAAGAGAAUCUUGCCAUAAUGUUGAAAUAAAGAAGAAAAACCAAGUAAGAGAAUCCAAAAGCAAAAUACAGAACAUCCUCUCAACAAAUUUAC
Molecule: long non-coding RNA, 1382 nt
Organism: Canis lupus familiaris (dog)
Lineage: Eukaryota; Metazoa; Chordata; Mammalia; Carnivora; Canidae
Exons: 4
Source: RefSeq, a predicted model, not a curated record